UUCUAAUAGAAAUAAUUAUUAGUAUGAUCUGCUCAAUGUAAUAUAAAUAGCCGCAGAUAUCUGUGCUAAGGUAGCAUAAUCAUUCGUCUUUUAAUUUAAGACUAGAAUGAAUGAUCUCACAUUUUAAAUAAUUUCUUAGUUUUAUUAUUAGAAAUUAUUUUAAGGAUAAAAAAAUCCUUAUGAAUUAAAAAGACAAUAAGACCCUAUUGAACUUUACUUUAGUUUAACUGGGGAAGUUAAUUAAAUAACAUUUUAAUUUAAUUUUUCUUAUAAGUAACCCAAUUAAUUUGAAUUUUAAUCAAGUUACCAUAGGGAUAACAGCAUAAUUAUUUAUAAAAGAUCUUAUUAAAUAAAUAGAUUAUGACCUCGAUGUUGAAUAGCGACCUAAUAAAAGUAACCAUUUAUCACAAAGGAAGUCUGUUCGACUUUUAAUAAGCUACA
This 441-nucleotide ribosomal RNA is filed under the name Platnickia elegans. RNAcentral describes it as "partial 16S ribosomal RNA". Lineage: Eukaryota; Metazoa; Arthropoda; Arachnida; Araneae; Zodariidae. The record is from RNAcentral.